GACGAACGCUGGCGGCGUGCCUAAUACAUGCAAGUAGAACGCUGAAGGAGGAGCUUGCUUCUCUGGAUGAGUUGCGAACGGGUGAGUAACGCGUAGGUAACCUGCCUGGUAGCGGGGGAUAACUAUUGGAAACGAUAGCUAAUACCGCAUAAUAGCAGUUAUUGCAUGAUAACUGUUUGAAAGGUGCAAUUGCACCACUACCAGAUGGACCUGCGUUGUAUUAGCUAGUUGGUGGGGUAACGGCUCACCAAGGCGACGAUACAUAGCCGACCUGAGAGGGUGAUAGGCCAAACUGGGACUGAGACCAGGCCCAGACUCCUACGGGAGGCAGCAGUAGGGAAUCUUAGGAAAUGGACGGAAGACUGACCGAGCAACGCCGCGUGAGUGAAGAAAGGUUUCGGAUCGUAAAGCUCUGUUGUGAGAGAAGAACGAGUGUGAGAGUGGAAAGUUCACAAUGUGACGGUAUCUAAACAGAAAGCGACGGCUAACUACGUG
Molecule: ribosomal RNA, 495 nt
Filed under: uncultured bacterium
Lineage: Bacteria
Description: partial 16S ribosomal RNA
Rfam family: Bacterial small subunit ribosomal RNA
Source: RNAcentral